AUUGAACGCUGGCGGCAGACCUAACACAUGCAAGUCGAGCGGUAGCACAGAGAGCUUGCUCUCGGGUGACGAGUGGCGGACGGGUGAGUAAUGUCUGGGAAACUGCCCGAUGGAGGGGGAUAACUACUGGAAACGGUAGCUAAUACCGCAUAACGUCUACGGACCAAAGUGGGGGACCUUCGGGCCUCACACCAUCGGAUGUGCCCAGAUGGGAUUAGCUAGUAGGUGGGGUAAUGGCUCACCUAGGCGACGAUCCCUAGCUGGUCUGAGAGGAUGACCGGCGACACUGGAACUGAGACACGGUCCAGACUCCUACGGGAGGCAGCAGUGGGGAAUAGUGCACAAUGGGCGCAAGCCUGAUGCAGCCAUGCCGCGUGUAUGAGGAAGGCCUUCGGGUUGUAAAGUACUUUCAGCGGGGAGGAAGGGUUGCUGGUUAAUAACCAGCGACAUUGACGUUACCCGCAGAAGAAGCACCGGCUAACUCCGUGCCAGCCGCCGCGGUAA
This 504-nucleotide ribosomal RNA is filed under the name uncultured bacterium. RNAcentral describes it as "partial 16S ribosomal RNA". It matches the Rfam family "Bacterial small subunit ribosomal RNA", at positions 29 to 523 of the family's 1533-position model. The record is from RNAcentral.